GCGCCGCCCCUCGCCUCCCCGCCGCCGGCCCGGCCCUCAGCCACCCUCUGCCCGCCGGGGCCGGGUCUCAGGGAGCCCCGGCCCAGCCAACCCGAGCUGCGGCCGGGGCCCAUUGUCCCGCGAUCUGUCCGUCCGGAGGCGGAGCCCAGGGACGCGGAGCGCCGAGGCUGCGGAUUCACAUCACUCGGAUUCGGGCGAGUUUACUUUGCUCCGUGGGAACCUCACCAGAGCUGGAGGUCAGCACCUUACAAGGAGGUAGUGACCUGUCCAGGGGUGAAACUGGGAAAGAAUCGAACUUGUCUAUCAGGGAAACAUGUCCCGUAGGAAACAGACAAAUCCAAAUAAAGUUCACUGGGAUCAAGUAUUUGCUGGGUUAGAAGAACAAGCCCGACAGGCAAUGAUGAAAACCGAGUUUCCUGGAGACCUUGGCAGUCAGCGACAAGCUCUCCAACAUCUAAGAGACCAGGACUCCAGUAGCAGUGAGUUCUGCACCUUCUGGUAAUGACUCAGGGCAACGGGAGAGGAACUAAUAGAGUGUGUGCUGUGGGGAGUGUGCACGGGGCUGGGAGGAAGAUCUAAGAAGGGAUAUGGAUCUCAGGCCUGAACAUGUCUAUGCAGAAGAGGACAGGUGGCAUGUUUUUAUAACUCAGGGACUCUAGUAAUUGACACUGCUGUACCAUAUACAGCAGAUACAGAUAGUUUCGUGGCGAUUGUGAUACGGGACAUUCUAAGACAAAUGGUUAGUGUUCAGGCAGCUUGUGGGCCAGGUAAAAAAGAAAAAACAUCCUUUUGCUUCAGGUCUGUGUAUUUACAGUUAGUGAAGUCUGAGUGGCAUUAAUGAAUUUCACUUGAGUCCUAGUCUUACUGUUUUACAGAUUUGCUUAGUGAUGAGGUUUGUAGAGCGUGUAAAAUGCUGAAGUCCAGGUUUCCCACACCAAAGUCCUUACUAGAUUUCUGUGUUUAGGAGAUAAAAAAAAAAAAUAGUC
This 986-nucleotide long non-coding RNA is filed under the name Rattus norvegicus (Norway rat). RNAcentral's name for it is "long non-coding RNA NONRATT014692". Lineage: Eukaryota; Metazoa; Chordata; Mammalia; Rodentia; Muridae. The record is from RNAcentral.